UCCCCGUUUAAGCGAGGCAGUCUGUCCAGAGUGCUCCAAACUCUCGUUCGGGUGGCAACAGGACACAAGGGUUGCGCUCGUUGCGGGACUUAACCCAACAUCUCACGACACGAGCUGACGACAGCCAUGCAGCACCUGUGCAAGCUGGUAUUGCUACCUCGUCCCCCUUUCAGGGUUCUACUACUUGCAUGUCAAGGCCAGGUAAGGUUCUUCGCGUUGCAUCGAAUUAAGCCACAUACUCCACCGCUUGUGCAGGCCCCCGUCAAUUUCUUUGAGUUUUAAUCUUGCGACCGUACUUCCCAGGCGGCACGUUUAGCGCGUUAGCUUCGCCACAAGAGGGGUCGAUUCCUCUUACAGCAAACGUGCACCGUUUACGGCUAGGACUAC
RNAcentral lists this unclassified non-coding RNA (387 nucleotides) under uncultured Verrucomicrobiae bacterium. RNAcentral describes it as "contains 16S-23S intergenic spacer region". The record is from RNAcentral. Lineage: Bacteria; Pseudomonadati; Verrucomicrobiota; Verrucomicrobiia.